Molecule: long non-coding RNA, 776 nt
Organism: Homalodisca vitripennis (glassy-winged sharpshooter)
Lineage: Eukaryota; Metazoa; Arthropoda; Insecta; Hemiptera; Cicadellidae
Exons: 2
Source: RefSeq, a predicted model, not a curated record
AGCGGGCGUGCGGCCGUCUGGUCUCCGGUCUGUGUGGUAUUGCGUAACUGUCGGUCGGUGCGGUAGUGCGUGGAUAUAUACAAGUACGAGAAUGGAGCUGUUGGAUUACAAAUACCAGCAGUCAGAUCCACACAGACAAGGCCGAGGCUCAGAUGAUAUUUCCUGUCAACCUAGACAUACCGGACUUCUCUGCUAUGUCCUUAUGUAGAAGAAUGAGUGGCGCUGGCGCGACAAGAUAUGCAUUAUGUGGACCUCCAUACAGGCUCGCCUCCACAUACUUAUAGAGUAAUCAUUGAGGCCUUUAUUUUGCAAUGUAACAAAAAGUAUGGAUUUCUUGUUAUAUGGAAUGUAGUAGUCCAGAACCCAGUUUUUAUAGUUUUAAUAAGUAAUGGUUGUUUGACUUACAUAUAUAUAUUAUUGAAUUGAAGAGUGCGUCCUAAAAAAGGUUUCGUUUUGUGUUAAGAAAAUAAUUUACUUUGUAAUAAAACGUCAAUUAACUGUUAAUAUUAUGAUUCUAAUAGGAAAGAACUUCACAAUUUCACUAAGGUGUUCUGUUGUAUCUUAUUAUGAUGUGUCAUGUUUUUUCCAGUUAAUAACCUCAUUAAAUAUUAGUACUAUUAUCUCUCCAACUGUUGGUAUUUUUGUCUUUUAUAUUAUUUAGAUACAUAACUAACAAAUAUGUAGGCUGCCAAUUAUACUCCUUAUUUUUUUAUGUGCCCAUAAUGAAUGCCAUUGGUACAAAAAUGGUAUGAAUAAACGGCCAUUGCCUAUUUCUA